GGAUUGUGGCUCAAUGGUAGAGCACUUGCCUUGCACGCAUGAGGCACUGGGUUCAAUCUUUAGCACCA
Molecule: transfer RNA, 68 nt
Filed under: Marmota monax (woodchuck)
Lineage: Eukaryota; Metazoa; Chordata; Mammalia; Rodentia; Sciuridae
Description: tRNA.Ala
Rfam family: tRNA (bases 5-65)
About the family: Transfer RNA (tRNA) molecules are approximately 80 nucleotides in length. Their secondary structure includes four short double-helical elements and three loops (D, anti-codon, and T loops).
Source: RNAcentral